RNAcentral lists this long non-coding RNA (471 nucleotides) under Mytilus galloprovincialis (Mediterranean mussel). The record is from RNAcentral. Lineage: Eukaryota; Metazoa; Mollusca; Bivalvia; Mytilida; Mytilidae.
AAAGUGUUUUUUUUUUUUACUCGGGACAAGUUUUUUGAUGUUCAAUAUCGAAUAUACAUGAUAUAGGACAAAUGAAUUUUCAAUGUUUAAAAAAAAAAUGCCGAAAAAUUCAUAUUCGACCAACAAAUACAACAGCCGAGGAAGAUUCAAGUUACAUUUUCUAAAUCAAUCAGAAUCUUUCCGUAAAUUUGUUUCAACGAAGUUUUAUCUCGAAGUAGGACACACCGUUAUUAGAACAUAUGAGUCUGUAGGGUGUUAGACAAUGUGUUAUUUGUUCUUGAUUAACAACAAAAACAUUCAUCAUAUUAGGAUAUGAACACACGAAUACACUUAAAACAUGUCAUAUAGUUUAAUAUACAUAUAACUUUCAAAUGGUUUUAUCUGUUGUUUGUUGUCAAGAGGCAAAUAUAUCAUGCAUAUUCAGUGUGAAAAAUGGACAGUAUAUAUUGAAUGUAUAUGUAAGUCUUCCAG